UGACGACGACUUUACUUGUCCUCGGGCACGCUCUCAUAGACGGCCUCGAAUCCGAAGUCGUCCUCGGCGGCCCGGAAGCGGCGAUGCACUCGGCGGCGAUCCGGCGAGGCGGCAAGGCGCUGCGGCUGAGCGGAGGCGUGCGAACGAGCCUGCAACGGUCAGGCACGCGGCAGUCGCCAUCGUCGGGAGCGCCGGCGUGCGUGGCGUGCGUCUGCGUCGUCGCCCCUUCCGC
RNAcentral lists this non-coding RNA (232 nucleotides) under uncultured eukaryote. The record is from RNAcentral.